GAUGAACGCUGGCGGCGUGCCUAAUACAUGCAAGUCGAGCGAACGGACGAGAAGCUUGCUUCUCUGAUGUUAGCGGCGGACGGGUGAGUAACACGUGGAUAACCUACCUAUAAGACUGGGAUAACUUCGGGAAACCGGAGCUAAUACCGGAUAAUAUUUUGAACCGCAUGGUUCAAAAGUGAAAGACGGUCUUGCUGUCACUUAUAGAUGGAUCCGCGCUGCAUUAGCUAGUUGGUAAGGUAACGGCUUACCAAGGCAACGAUGCAUAGCCGACCUGAGAGGGUGAUCGGCCACACUGGAAGUGAGACACGGUCCAGACUCCUAAGGGAGGCAGCAGUAGGGAAUGUUCCGCAAUGGGCGAAAGCCUGACGGAGCAACGCCGCGUGAGUGAUGAAGGUCUUCGGAUCGUAAAACUCUGUUAUUAGGGAAGAACAUAUGUGUAAGUAACUGUGCACAUCUUGACGGUACCUAAUCAGAAAGCCACGGCUAACUACGUG
Molecule: ribosomal RNA, 497 nt
Filed under: uncultured bacterium
Lineage: Bacteria
Description: partial 16S ribosomal RNA
Rfam family: Bacterial small subunit ribosomal RNA
Source: RNAcentral